RNAcentral lists this ribosomal RNA (468 nucleotides) under uncultured bacterium. RNAcentral's name for it is "partial 16S ribosomal RNA". It matches the Rfam family "Bacterial small subunit ribosomal RNA", at positions 28 to 507 of the family's 1533-position model. The record is from RNAcentral.
GACGAACGCUGGCGGCGUGCUUAACACAUGCAAGUCGAACGGAAAGGCCCUGCUUUUGUGGGGUGCUCGAGUGGCGAACGGGUGAGUAACACGUGAGUAACCUGCCCUUGACUUUGGGAUAACUUCAGGAAACUGGGGCUAAUACCGGAUAGGAGCUCCUGCUGCAUGGUGGGGGUUGGAAAGUUUCGGCGGUUGGGGAUGGACUCGCGGCUUAUCAGCUUGUUGGUGGGGUAGUGGCUUACCAAGGCUUUGACGGGUAGCCGGCCUGAGAGGGUGACCGGCGACAUUGGGACUGAGAUACGGACCAGACUCCUACGGGAGGCAGCAGUGGGGAAUAUUGCACAAUGGGAGGAAGCCUGAUGCAGAGACGCCGCGUGCGGGAUGACGGCCUUCGGGUUGUAAACCGCUUUCGCCUGUGACGAAGCGUGAGUGACGGUAAUGGGUAAAGAAGCACCGGCUAACUACGUG